AUACUUGGGCAAGUGCUAGGGUAACCUAGAGGAAAGUCCAUGCUCGCACUAUCUGUGAUGAUAGUAGUGUUCGUGCUUAGGGAAAAAAUAACCUAAGGUAGAUUUAUUCUAACGGCAAAACUUUAUCUAAAGGAUUAUCCUAUGAUAAAGUGAUAACGUGCCACAGAAACGAUACUUUUGGAAACGAAAGGGUGAAACGAGGUAAACCCCACGAGCGAGAAACCCAAAUUUUGGUAGGGGAGUCUCCAUGAAAGAAAGAUAAUGGAUUGGAGGACUAGUAAUAGUAGAUAGAUACUUGCCACCUAGUAAUAGGUACAAAACAUGGCUUAUAAAG
Molecule: non-coding RNA, 334 nt
Organism: Clostridium sp. CAG:451
Lineage: Bacteria; Bacillati; Bacillota; Clostridia; Eubacteriales; Clostridiaceae
Source: Rfam